RNAcentral lists this ribosomal RNA (497 nucleotides) under uncultured bacterium. RNAcentral describes it as "partial 16S ribosomal RNA". It matches the Rfam family "Bacterial small subunit ribosomal RNA", at positions 28 to 507 of the family's 1533-position model. The record is from RNAcentral.
GAUGAACGCUGGCGGCGUGCCUAAUACAUGCAAGUCGAGCGAACGGACGAUAAGCUUGCUUCUCUGAUGUUAGCGGCGGACGUGUGAGUAACACGUGUAUACCCUCCCUAUCAGUCUGGUAUCACUUCGGGAAACCGGCGCUAAUACCGUAUAAUCUUUUGAACCGCAUUGUUCAAAAGUGAAAGACGGUCUUGCUGUCACUUAUCGAUGCAUCCGCGCUGCAUUAGCUAGUAGGUAAGGUAACGGCUUAUCAAGGCAACGAUGCAUAACCGAACUGAGAGGGUGAUCGGCCGCACUGGAACUGAGACACGGUACAGACGCAUACGGGAGGCAGCAGUAGGGAAUCGUCAGCAAGGGGCGAAAGACUGACGGAGAAACGCCGCGUGAUGGAGGAAGGUCGUCGGAUCGUAAAACUCUGUUAUUAGGGAAGAACAUAUGUGUAAGUAACUGUGCACAUCUUGAAGGUACAUAAUCAGAAAGCCACGGCUAACUAAGUG